Molecule: non-coding RNA, 66 nt
Filed under: Streptomyces mobaraensis
Lineage: Bacteria; Bacillati; Actinomycetota; Actinomycetes; Kitasatosporales; Streptomycetaceae
Source: RNAcentral
CGUUUGCUACCGUCGGAAGGACCCCGACGAGACGCGCCGUACCGGGUCAGGACAAGACGACGCACC